GGGUGCUUGAGACUGUUCGUCUUGGGCAUUGUGUGACAAGGCGGAUAGAUGAAAGCCCCAGACUGACUCUCAAUCAGAAUGGGGCUGCACAUACCGCCUAGACACCGGUAUGGUAGCCCCUUCACAGCAAGGAGGCAAGCCAUGUAUAAAAAACAUG
Molecule: antisense RNA, 157 nt
Filed under: Enterobacterales bacterium 8AC
Lineage: Bacteria; Pseudomonadati; Pseudomonadota; Gammaproteobacteria; Enterobacterales
Description: sok
Rfam family: sok antitoxin (CssrC)
About the family: Also identified in Shigella as CssrC.
Source: RNAcentral